This 80-nucleotide non-coding RNA is filed under the name human gut metagenome. The record is from RNAcentral.
UAGUAGUGAUAUUAGAGUGAAAUAUCAGAAGUCAGCAGAAGUCAUAGUAGCAAAUUGGAUAUAUACAAUUUGUGAAGGAC